AGGGGCUCACCCACAAAAAUAGCUUCCAUGGAAUGGUCAGCCUAGCAGGAGCUGGGGGUUCUCCAUCAAGUGAAGAUGGGGACUAUGAGAUCUUACGGCAUCUCAAAGGGCAGAAGUCUGGACAGGAAGACCAGUUGCAUAGUGGAGGGAAGUAUCCUAACCUGGAUUAAAUAUAUGCUGAAUUCCUCUGUUUAUCCUAAAAGCUAAAUCCCUGAUAUAAACUUGCUUUUUCAUGUUUUUAUGAUUUAGCUUUAUUUUAGGGAUUUAACUUUAUUUUAACCAUGGGUUACUGAGAAUUUUUGUUAAAGUUUAAUGGCAUUGUGUACUCCUAUUCACUCUUCAGAAUCUCAGUUCAAUAUCACUUCCUCCAUGAAGCCUUCCUGAUUACUUUUUCCUUUCUUCCCUCAGGCCCUCCCAGUUAUUUCCCUCUCUAAGGAGCAUACUAUGUUUAAAUAAUUUGUUAACAUGAGCUACAGGGGGCAGGUGGUUGAGGGAGGGCUUUCUCUGUGAGUCUGCUUAUUAAGAAGCUGAGCUCCCAGUCCUUGCCUUGUGAUAAUAAUCAAGCCCCAUUACUUGAGAGCUCGCAGAGGGCAGAAAACAAGGGCUGCUUCACUGUUACAUGCACAGGCCAUGGCCUGAAACAAGGAAGGGAAGGAGGGAGAAAACAACGGGAGGACAAAUUCUAUAAACAGGUCAGAGGAGAGGGAGAGACAUUAUUUAUCAGCUUGGUGAUUUCAACUUAAUUCUGAGAAGACUUAAUCCAUGUCUGUUUCCCUCUGGUCUGUAAAACAAAAUGCCUCCUACAAUGUUUCUGAGUUGUUUCACAACUCAGGAAGACGAUAUUUCUCUUUGCCAUAAGACAAUACAUUUCCUAAACGUACUGUAGUGGGUAAGGGUAGGGUGGGAGUUUAAAAAAGAAAAUCAGUCAGCAGCUAUGAAGAGCCAAAAGGACACAGUGUCAGAUCUGUGGAAAUUGAACCUAAGGAUAGAUCUGAGACCAACAAGAGUUAAAUGGUCAACUCCACUCAACAUUUGCUGAGUCUCUAUUCUGUGGGCCCUAAUAGAAAGUCACCAAAACAGUUCUUGAGGGGUCAGGACCUAUUGCUGAGAGUGGCAAGUCAGGAGUAAAGCAAAAAGAGGGCAGGACUGGCCUCAUGUCCAGUUGCACAGCCCUGGUUGUGCCAUGUCUCUGGGCUGGGAGACAGCUGCCUGGCCACUGGCCCUUGGGCCAUUAAAAACACAGGGCCACAGAAGGAGCAGGCAGGGCUCAUAUCUGGGGGAUUAGCUCCAUCUGCCCUGAGUGCAGUGGAAACCGUGCAUCCUUCCUCUUCCCUGGGCCUCAUCCUGGUGCCUGCCCCCAGCAGUCCCUGGCAGCCUCAUGUCCACCUGGCCAUGAUGUCAGGUCUAUUUAAGCCAGGGACCUGGUGAUCCUUUCCACAGCCCACUGGGAAGGCCUAUGUGUUGCUGAAAAACAAAUAAACCAACAGCUCUCUGUCACCAUGGGUUCUACAGACCUGGGGAUACACGGCAAAGGCCUGUCGUGGAGGUUGUAACUCUUUGUCCUUUAGGAUUCCCAAGGUAGACCACGUGUGUGCCAGCCCAGCAGGCAAACUGCCCCGUAUGAGUUUGUCCAUCAACUGUGCGUGCAGAUCUUUACUCGCAUGCAUGACACAGGAAGCCCACGGGACACUUCCCCAGCACGCCCCGCUUCCUCUGCACUCCUGGAAGGAAGACCUGUUCUUGCUUCUUCCGUACUCUCAGGAUCUGGCACAGAACCCGACAAAGGAAAUAUUUAAUGAACUAUGGCGUAGGCCUGGCCCUGAACGACACCCUGGGGACCCAGCAGCAGCAAGGUGCAGCUUCUGCCCUCAGCAACCUCACGGUCUAAUGGACGCGGCACAGUGGGCAGGAAGUGACACCAAAGAGCAUCAGGAUUAGGAAGUCUGUUCGGAUUAGCAUGGAAUCAGAGUCUCCCUGCCCUGGGAAUCAUUGCUGGCCAUGGCAGUUGCUGAGACUGGGAGCUAAAAGGUGCAUCUGAGUUGGAGUCUUGUCAUGUUCCUUCAGACUCUCUGGAGCAGCCCAGCUUCCCAGAACUGAGAUCACUAAACCAAGAAGAGGAGGCACCUUGGACCUGGGUAAAGGCUCCUUUCCAAGCUACUGCACAAAGAGGCCCAGGAGAAAUCAAAAGAUCAUGGACUGUUUUUGCUAUUGCAUGUGUUCCACCUUCAGUAUGGACUGUUGCCCUCCUUGCAGAUGUCGAGAUGGAACCUCACCAGGGCUUCCUUCUGAAAUGAAACUUCCAGAAAGCAGCAGACAGACCACAGAACAUCCUUCCUAGAAAAAGAAAAGCCGUCUGUAGACCAGCAACAGCUCUGAUCACAUGACUGCAAGCAAGGUUUCCAAAGAAAUCAAAAUGAUAGCUUGAAGAAU
This is a long non-coding RNA of Homo sapiens (human), 2430 nucleotides long. RefSeq lists it as uncharacterized. The record is from RefSeq and is a predicted model, not a curated record. The transcript is spliced from 6 exons. NCBI's taxonomy places the organism in Eukaryota, Metazoa, Chordata, Mammalia, Primates, Hominidae.